GGUAAUACAGAGGGUGCAAGCGUUAAUCGGAAUUACUGGGCGUAAAGCGCGCGUAGGUGGUUUGUUAAGUUGGAUGUGAAAUCCCCGGGCUCAACCUGGGAACUGCAUUCAAAACUGACUGACUAGAGUAUGGUAGAGGGUGGUGGAAUUUCCUGUGUAGCGGUGAAAUGCGUAGAUAUAGGAAGGAACACCAGUGGCGAAGGCGACCACCUGGACUGAUACUGACACUGAGGUGCGAAAGCGUGGGGAGCAAACAGGAUUAGAUAC
This 267-nucleotide ribosomal RNA is filed under the name Pseudomonas sp. Its description in RNAcentral is "partial 16S ribosomal RNA". It matches the Rfam family "Bacterial small subunit ribosomal RNA", at positions 519 to 785 of the family's 1533-position model. The record is from RNAcentral. Lineage: Bacteria; Pseudomonadati; Pseudomonadota; Gammaproteobacteria; Pseudomonadales; Pseudomonadaceae.